This 586-nucleotide ribosomal RNA is filed under the name uncultured bacterium. RNAcentral describes it as "bacterial SSU rRNA". It matches the Rfam family "Bacterial small subunit ribosomal RNA", at positions 338 to 917 of the family's 1533-position model. The record is from RNAcentral.
CCUACGGGAGGCAGCAGUGGGGAAUUUUGGACAAUGGGCGCAAGCCUGAUCCAGCAAUGCCGCGUGAGUGAAGAAGGCCUUCGGGUUGUAAAGCUCUUUUGUCAGGGAAGAAACGGUGGAGGCUAAUAUCCUUUGCUAAUGACGGUACCUGAAGAAUAAGCACCGGCUAACUACGUGCCAGCAGCCGCGGUAAUACGUAGGGUGCAAGCGUUAAUCGGAAUUACUGGGCGUAAAGCGUGCGCAGGCGGUUUUGUAAGUUUGUCGUGAAAUCCCCGGGCUCAACCUGGGAAUGGCGAUGAAGACUGCAAGGCUAGAAUCUGGCAGAGGGGGGUAGAAUUCCACGUGUAGCAGUGAAAUGCGUAGAGAUGUGGAGGAACACCGAUGGCGAAGGCAGCCCCCUGGGUCAAGAUUGACGCUCAUGCACGAAAGCGUGGGGAGCAAACAGGAUUAGAUACCCUGGCAGUCCACGCCCUAAACGAUGUCUACUAGUUGUCGGGUUUUAAUUAACUUGGUAACGCAGCUAACGCGUGAAGUAGACCGCCUGGGGAGUACGGUCGCAAGAUUAAAACUCAAAUGAAUUGACCGG